GAUGAACGCUGGCGGCGUGCCUAAUACAUGCAAGUCGAGCGAACGGACGAGAAGCUUGCUGCUCUGAUGUUAACGGCGGACGGGUGAGUAACACGUGGAUAACCUACCUAUAAGACUGGGAUAACUUCGGGAAACCGGUGCUAAUCCCGGAUAAUAUUUUGAACCGCAUGGUUCAAAAGUGAAAGACGGUCUUGCUGUCACUUAUAGCUGCAUCCGCGCUGCAUUAGCUAGUUGGUAAGGUAACGGCUUACCAAGGCAACGAUGCAUAGCCGACCUGAGAGGGUGAUCGGCCACACUGGAACUGAGACACGGUCCAGACUCCUACGGGAGGCAGCAGUAGGGAAUCUUCCGCAAUGGGCGAAAGCCUGACGGAGCAACGCCGCGUGAGUGAUGAAGGUCUUCGGAUCGUAAAACUCUGUUAUUAGGGAAGAACAUAUGUGUAAGUAACUGUGCACAUCUUGACGGUACCUAAUCAGAAAGCCACGGCUAACUACGUG
This 497-nucleotide ribosomal RNA is filed under the name uncultured bacterium. RNAcentral describes it as "partial 16S ribosomal RNA". It matches the Rfam family "Bacterial small subunit ribosomal RNA", at positions 28 to 507 of the family's 1533-position model. The record is from RNAcentral.